Pseudomonas syringae is the source of this 101-nucleotide non-coding RNA. The record is from Rfam. NCBI's taxonomy places the organism in Bacteria, Pseudomonadati, Pseudomonadota, Gammaproteobacteria, Pseudomonadales, Pseudomonadaceae.
CGGCGGGUUGUGUAUUGCUCGGGCUGUGUUAGUGUCCAGACAUGCUUCAACGAACGAAGCCUUCCAAAACCCCGCCGAACCCGGCGGGGUUUUGCUUUAUG